This 253-nucleotide ribosomal RNA is filed under the name uncultured bacterium. RNAcentral's name for it is "partial 16S ribosomal RNA". It matches the Rfam family "Bacterial small subunit ribosomal RNA", at positions 524 to 776 of the family's 1533-position model. The record is from RNAcentral.
UACGAAGGACCCAAGCGUUAUCCGGAUUUAUUGGGUUUAAAGGGUGCGUAGGCGGGUUUUUAAGUCAGUGGUGAAAGCCUACAGCUUAACUGUAGAAUUGCCAUUGAUACUGAAGAUCUUGAGUAUGAUUGAGGUGGGCGGAAUGUGUCAUGUAGCGGUGAAAUGCUUAGAUAUGACACAGAACACCGAUUGCGAAGGCAGCUCACUAAGCCAUAACUGACGCUGAUGCACGAAAGCGUGGGGAGCAAACAGG